Molecule: unclassified non-coding RNA, 458 nt
Filed under: Hevea brasiliensis (rubber tree)
Lineage: Eukaryota; Viridiplantae; Streptophyta; Magnoliopsida; Malpighiales; Euphorbiaceae
Source: RNAcentral
UCUUUGAACAUUUGAAUAAGAAUAAUGAAAAACUGAGAAACUGUAUAAAGCUCCCAAGGCUUUUUCAAGUGAAAACAACAAGUAGAAACAAGUUUUCCUUAUUGAUCCCUUAACAAUUCAAACAAGAACAACAUCAAAUACUUCCAUAAUAACCAAAAGGAUGCUGCAAAUCUGAUGGUUGUUAAUCAAAGAGGGCCUGGGAAAGUCCCGUUCUCCCUCUGCUCGUUCCACUUAUCAACCCAUUCACCAGGGCAAAGUGCACGGUAGUAUUUUGCGAAUCUUGCACAGUCAGCAGCCUCAUCACCCUUUGCAGCAACGCACCUAUGAAACUCAACGUAGCGAGUGAAACAGUGCCUAGUUUGGUUGGUUGUUGGGAACCGGAAAUCAGCUGGGGCAGUCUUAAGUUCAAUCUCGGCCAUGGCUGAUGCAAAUCAAUGCGAGAAGAAGCUUCAAAAUUG